ACAGAACUCCGGCAUGAACCAGCUCAGGAAAGUGUAGCAGGAGACAUGGUAGAAAGUGCAUCAAGAAUGCCUCCAGAAGUGCCUUGGUCAAAUAGCCCCCUGGAGGAGUUGAGAUCAUCAUGUAUACCAGUACAAUCUUUUUGGAAGCAUCUAUAUCUUCCAGUCUUGCAGAGAUCUCCCUCCCCACUCCUCAAUUACCGUGGCCC
Molecule: long non-coding RNA, 206 nt
Organism: Tupaia belangeri chinensis (Chinese tree shrew)
Lineage: Eukaryota; Metazoa; Chordata; Mammalia; Scandentia; Tupaiidae
Exons: 3
Source: RefSeq, a predicted model, not a curated record